Molecule: transfer RNA, 28 nt
Filed under: Eucalyptus globulus
Lineage: Eukaryota; Viridiplantae; Streptophyta; Magnoliopsida; Myrtales; Myrtaceae
Also listed under: 1 other name
Description: partial tRNA-His
Source: RNAcentral
UGCCUUGAUCCACUUGGCUACAUCCGCC